This is a long non-coding RNA of Saccostrea cuccullata (small rock oyster), 1440 nucleotides long. RefSeq lists it as uncharacterized. NCBI's taxonomy places the organism in Eukaryota, Metazoa, Mollusca, Bivalvia, Ostreida, Ostreidae. The record is from RefSeq and is a predicted model, not a curated record. The transcript is spliced from 4 exons.
UGUGCAUUUAAGAAUCUUUAUGAUAUUAUCCCAACAAUAUGUAAAAUCCACCUUUGGACUCUCAAGGACAGAAAAGUUAUAUCGUAAUGAAUUUACCUCAAAUUCAAAUGAUGGAAAAAUUCAUGAUUUUAUAAGUUUUACUUUUAACAGUAAUUUUAAUGAAUUUUGUGUAAAAUAUUUACAAAUAUAAACAAUGAAAAUUAUUUUUAAUUUUAUAAAAGCUAUAAAUAAUUUUUUUCCUGCUUUUCCUGUGAAAAAAACGUAUUUUACUUUUUAUUUAGAUUUUGUUAGAAUUAUCUCCCCUGUUGCGCUCUUCUGUAGAGAAGGUAGAUAAUGAUUAUGUUUACGAAGUUUAUAAAGAGAUGUCUGUCAUCUAAUCGUUUUAGGUAUAAAUUAUGUGUGAUUUGAAGAAAAUUGUCCCUCCUGUGAAUGUAAUUUGUUACGUAUAAACUAGUGGCCUAUGUAUAAAAUGCAUAAAAAAUUUAUGAAAACCAUCGAGAUCGAAGUACGGUUCCGUAACCACGUGUAAACAUUAUGGUAUUCUGAGACGUUUUGUUACCGUUUUGUACGUCCUCAGAAAAAGAUUCAAGUGCGUGAAUUGUCAACGAGUCUUCAGAUUAUGGCUCUGAUUUUGAUGAAUAUGAUUCUGACAGCAAACAUUCAUUUGGUAGCAAGACGGAUGUAGUGAUGAUGAUACUGAGUCAACAAUGUUUGAAUUUGAAAAAGAAACAGAUAUUUAUGAAAUGUAAUGAAGAUCGGGCUACAGUUAUGAUUUUCGGCUUUUCAUAUAUGAUUAAAGGAAAAAGAGUUGUCAAAUACUUAUGCAGACUUUUCAAAUUAAAGGUCACCAUGUGUUCCUUGACAGAUUAUUCAAAUUCAUUUCCCUGGUUAGGGCUGGGCUUUACAAAGGGAUUUUCAGCUGUGGAGCUAUAAAGAAUUGCUACAUAGGGUUUCCAAUGUAAUUUUGUGAACAGAAUCCAGAAAUAAGAAGAGGAAAGACAAUGCAGAUGCAGCAUUAGCAUUACCAAUUACUUAUCAGUGCUGAGGAAAUGGUACAUGCUUUGAGUACUACUUUUUUGUAUUUGGAGACAGUCCAGUUGUUCUUUAAACCAGAAGUGGAAAUUUCAGUGCUUGUUAAAUUUUCUCCAGAAGUUAUUGGAUGAUACAUAGGAAGAAAAUGGGGUCAUACUGAACAGAAUAGUUUGGAUACACCUUAUAGAUUUUGAAAGCUUGAGACCUCAAGAUCAACCCAAAUGAUAUUUAAUAUGUAUCAGGUUUCACUUGCAGGAAUACACAGAAAUUCAGAGUAAAUUUUAAGUGUUUGUUAUCUUAGAAAAGAUCAAAGUUCAAAGUCAACAGUGCUUUAGUUUUACCAAAUAUAACACUAUUAUAAAGACUAACUUCCUGUAUACAGGUAUAGCAAAUAAUUCAGAAUAUGAU